CCUACGGGCGGCAGCAGUGGGGAAUUUUGCGCAAUGCUCGUAAGAGUGACGCAGCGACGCCGCGUGAAUGACGAAGGCCUUCGGGUCGUACAGUUCUUUCGACAGGGAAGAAAAUGCCUCUAAGUAACUGUGUCUGUAUUGACGGUACCUUUAUAAGCAGCCCCGGCUAACUCCGUGCCAACAGCCGCGGUAAUACGGAGGGGGCGAGCGUUGUUCGGAGUGACUGGGCGUAAAGAGCACGUGGGCGGUGUUGUAAGUCAUUAGUCAAAGACUAGAGCUUAACUUUAGUAAGGCUAGUGAUACUAUAAUACUAGAGUAGCAGAGAGGAUUGCAGAAUUCCUGGUGUAGCGGUGAAAUGCGUAGAUAUCAGGAGGAAUACCGUUAGCGAAGGAGGCAAUCUGGCUGGAAACUGACGCUGAGGCUCGAAAGUGUGGGUAUCAAACAGGAUUAGAUACCCGAGUAGUC
RNAcentral lists this ribosomal RNA (465 nucleotides) under uncultured bacterium. RNAcentral's name for it is "partial 16S ribosomal RNA". It matches the Rfam family "Bacterial small subunit ribosomal RNA", at positions 338 to 795 of the family's 1533-position model. The record is from RNAcentral.